GGAGAGCUAUCACACUUCUCUGUGUACUUCUAACCUUCCCACACCUCCUUAUUUCACAAAAGAUUAAUUUAUACUCACUCGAACAUUAGCAUGGUGUAGCUGGUUGCCAAGGAUACAGGGAGCUCUGAACCCUGACCGUCUUUUCCCACACCUCUGGGAUGACGCUGGAAUGAGAUAUCGCUCUCCAUCUGAGACCUCUACAGAAGAAGAGGGCAGGAUGACACCAGGUGAGAAACUACAGCAGGAUUAGGCUGCUCUGUUGAGGGAGCCAACUUCACAUCAGGACCUUCUGUAUCUGGGAAUUUCUCAAGGAUGAAAAAUGGUCUUUCUCUUCUGGCAGUUCUUAAAAAGAGCAAAGAAACUGGGUUGUGGCCUGAUCUUCAGAACGCCCAUUCAGUAUUUGAAAGGAGAGGUCAUGUUUGUCUCUGUGACAGAGGGAUGCUUCUAUCUCAGGA
Melanotaenia boesemani (Boeseman's rainbowfish) is the source of this 455-nucleotide long non-coding RNA. RefSeq lists it as uncharacterized. Lineage: Eukaryota; Metazoa; Chordata; Actinopteri; Atheriniformes; Melanotaeniidae. The record is from RefSeq and is a predicted model, not a curated record. The transcript has 4 exons.